Long non-coding RNA from Pseudoliparis swirei, 3061 nucleotides. RefSeq lists it as uncharacterized. The transcript has 3 exons. The record is from RefSeq and is a predicted model, not a curated record. NCBI's taxonomy places the organism in Eukaryota, Metazoa, Chordata, Actinopteri, Perciformes, Liparidae.
GGGAACCAGGAUCACCUGUUGCUCCGUCUGUCCGUCACACCAUUUUUUUAAUUUAGCUAUCUUUUGGCAUCAAUCAUUUAUCGUUAUCGAUCUGAAAACAGAUCGUCAGCUAUUCGAUGAGUUUUAAAUCAGCUAGAAAAAAAGAUUCUUCACAACUGCCGUGCCACUGGAGAGACCAACGCCUCCACGGUAUUUAAAGAUGUAAAAAACGCUCCACCCUCCUCCAACAAAUCUUCUCUGUGCGCUAAUUAUUCUCUGUGCAUAUAUUUAACAAAAAAAGCAUUUGUUUCAAUUUUGCUCGCACAAAUGAAAACAUUUAGAAAAGUACAUUCAAAGACGAAGUUUCAGCCAAAAGUAAAUCCGAAUACAACGACUAACGGUGAAGUUCAUCCACUCACUCAUGGUCACGUUUGUCAAUUUGAAAUUCCGGUUCCCAGCAUCUCUCUUUUGUACGUGGUAAUUAUUUCUGGAAGUUCCUCAUUGAGCUCCAAUCAGCGAUAAAAGAACAUUCGAACACAUCAGAAGGUUUUUACUUUUGGGUUUACCGCCAUCUAGUGGCCAAACCAAACAUUACAACAACAGAGAUGUUUGAUGUACUCAAAGCCAAAGAAUGAGUGAGACCCCUCUUGCAUUCAACCAUCACAGUCAUGUGGUUUGGGGUUCUUGUAAGGCACAGGAAGGAACUUCCCGCCCUUUGUCGAACGAGUCCAGAGCAUCGGGAAGCCGGUGUGACGCGAUGAAGUUGGGAGAUCGGAGAGGAACAUUCCGGUCCUCUUUUGUCCUGGUUUGCAGUUCCAGCAUAGUUGUGAUUUUGUUUGUAUUUUGAUCACGUCUUUUUUCCCAGCAUAGCUGUGAUUUUCUUAGUUUCCUGCUCAGCAGCAACUUUAAGUUGUACUUUGUUUCUUUGGAAUUUUUGGGGACUUCCUCUGUUUAAAUAAACCCUUUUGAUUGCCCUGAGUUUUGGAGUCGUGCUCUCGGGUCCUGUUUUUGAGUCGUGACACUCGGCUGCAGGAACAGGAGGUUCACGUGUGUUUAUCAUCGUUCUCUCUGUCCUAAAGGAAGUCUUUUCACUUUUACAUUCGUCUUUCGGAGACUCUUGCACCAGAGACGUUUUAUUGACGUUCUUCACGUAGAAAGAAGAUGCUUGGUGUUUUCCGAUUUGCUUGAAUCGCGAUGGAAACACACGUUCACGCCGACAUGUCGCCGUGGCUCAUCUUCCAUUUUGGUUCAAAUGAAAUUCACGCCGAGGCAAAGCAGGUUAAUUUGUAACAUGUGAAACACCUCUUAACCCUCCUGUUACCUUUAUGGUCAAUUUGACCCCAUUCAAUGUUUAACCCUCCUGUUACCUUUAUAUUUACUAACAUAUUUUACCCUUGGGGUCAAUUUGACCCCAGCAAUUAAAACCUCCAGGAAAUUAUUAGAAUUAAUAUUCCAAGUUUAAGUGUGAGGUACUUUAUGUUUGUUUGUUGACUACCUAAAUAGCCCUUUAAAUAUAUAAAAAAGUUGAUAUUUCUUAUAUGUUUGACAGUGAAAAACAGCCUGGGGUCAAAUUGACCCCAAAGAACACCGACAUUAAACAUUGAAUGGGGUCAAAUUGACCCUAAAGGUAACAGGAGGGUUAAAACAACAGGGAAAUUUAAGGUGCUUUACUUCGGCCAUAAAAGAUAUUCAUAAACAAAAACACAUCAAUUGGUUUUCAAAAGAGUAAAAAGGAAGUAGAAGAUGAUCUUGAACAACACAUUGUGUUCUAUCAUCUUAUAAUAUUUGUCCUAAAAUAACUAGUAACCAUAGCUGUCAUUAGGGCUGGGCGAUAUGUCCAUAAUCUUCUAUCACUAUAUUGGUCAUUUUAUGACUCGCUUUGUGGUAAUAUUAUAGAUGUAUUAGCAAAAUGCAAUUAUACCAUGGUUUUGUAUACUGCUGUGUGAAAGAACAGAGUAUUAUCUCAUUUGAUUAAGAAAUUUAGUGCAAAUAAAAGCAAAGUGCAAAGCAAUUCGAGUGAUGUAUUUGUUAUUAUUUAUUUAGAGGACCCAACUGCGCAUCAGGAGAUCUUUAUACAUGAAUUCUUCACCAUAUGAUUCUAUUGAAAGACGAUAUAUAUUUUCAUCCUGAUUCAUCGCCCAGCCAGCUGCUCCACAUGCAGUGGAUUAAAUAGAAAAUAUGUCCCUCUGAAAUGUGAAGUAGAAGUAUAAAGUAGCAUGAAAUGAAUGUAUACGCUGGUUGGAUAUUUCCCACCACUGUCAGAGAAACGCUUGUGAAUGAACAUGUAAUGUCACUUGACUUCCACUAGAUGGCAGCAUACCACUCUGGUCAUGGAAGUCAGUGUCCCAAGUGGACACAAAAUUAAAUAUAAUCUAUAAAUACAGGCUACAGACACAUAGAUGAGCAGACGGCACAACCCGAUACAUAAUCCAGCAAAAAUUGGUGGGCUCCAUAAAUGAUCACAAUUUAUGAAGCUUAUGUAAAUCACUGUAUUGUUAUGAGUCAUUCCAGGGGGAAACGUCAGAGGUCAUGGCUGCUGCCCCCACCCCCCCCCCCCUCUCGCCGGUCAUUUGCAGAAGGAGCAAUUGGGUCCAUUUAUCUGUGCUACACUACUUUAUAUAUUAGGUUAUUUAUUAGGUUAAGAGACCUAAAAACACAAAUGAGUCAGUAUUUUUCCUCUUAAAAUUAAAGACGGCACCGUUUUAUCAAUGAAGAUAACAUUAAAUGAAUCAUAAACUCUCUCUACAUAGUAAAUGUGUUAAUGACUAUUCUCUGGUGUUUAAUGAAGUCUCUACAGAGGUGUGUAGAGGCCCAUCUCCAGUGUUCUAAUGGUACAUUGUGUUCUCGCCUUAGAAGACUAACGGAGGGGUAGAAAACCCUUUUUAUGUGAGCGCAGCUGAAAACAGUUAUGCUGGUGAGAGAAGCUCUAAAACUGGCCUUCCUUUGAGCCACAAGAAAACUACGUUAAUAUUUACAAUAUAAAUCAUUAUAUCUAACCUCGUCAAUGUCUUGACUAGAUUUAGUUGGAAUGCUUCAGCAGUCCAACUAUUGUUCUUGUAAUCUUUAUCUUUAAUAAACUUAU